Molecule: ribosomal RNA, 929 nt
Filed under: Pezicula sporulosa
Lineage: Eukaryota; Fungi; Ascomycota; Leotiomycetes; Helotiales; Dermateaceae
Description: eukaryotic LSU rRNA
Rfam family: 5.8S ribosomal RNA (bases 173-326)
Source: RNAcentral
UUGGGCGGCGAGGGGCUUUUGGGGUAGACCUCCCACCCUGUGUCGUUAUACCUUUGUUGCUUUGGCGGGCCGCGGGGCUCCGGCCCCGCCCCUGGCUCCGGCUAGGGCGCGCCCGCCAGAGGACUCGAAACCCUGAAUGUUAGUGUCGUCUGAGUACUAUAUAAUAGUUAAAAACUUUCAACAACGGAUCUCUUGGUUCUGGCAUCGAUGAAGAACGCAGCGAAAUGCGAUAAGUAAUGUGAAUUGCAGAAUUCAGUGAAUCAUCGAAUCUUUGAACGCACAUUGCGCCCCUUGGUAUUCCGGGGGGCAUGCCUGUUCGAGCGUCAUUACACCCUCAAGCUCCGCUUGGUCUUGGGCGUCACCGGUCCCCGGUGUGCCUUAAAAUCAGUGGCGGCGCCGUCUGGCUCUAAGCGUAGUACAUACUCUCGCUACAGACGCCCGGCGGACGCUGGCCAGCAACCCCCAAUCUAUCAAGGUUGACCUCGGAUCAGGUAGGGAUACCCGCUGAACUUAAGCAUAUCAAAAGCCGGAGGAAAUCCCGACCCUCUGCCUUUGGGGUAGGACCUCCCCCUGUGUGUUAUACCUUUGUUGCUUUGGCGGGCCGCGGGGCUCGCCCGCCCCUGGCUCGGCUAGGGCGCGCCGCCAGAGGACUCAAACCUGAAUGUUUAGUGUCGUCUGAGUACUAUAUAAUAGUUAAAAACUUUCAACAAGAUCUUUUGUUUCUGCAUCAUAAAGAAGCACAAAUCAUAGACUAAUGUGAAAUUGCAAAAUUCAAGAAUCAGCAAUCUUUCAAUCUCGGUCAUUCGGGGGGCAUGCUGUUGCAGCCAUGUCCCUCAGCUGCUGAUUUGGGGGAUCGUCCGAGUUGCCUAAAUGUGGCGAAGCGCUAGCUCUGACGUGAUACUACCUUCGUUCAGACGCGCAAGCUGCCG